CCCUUAGAUGUUCUGGGCCGCACGCGCGCUACAAUGAUGAAUUCAACGAGUUUAUAACCUUGGUUGAAAAGCCUGGGUAAUCUUUUGAACUUUCGUCGUGAUGGGGCUAGACCCUUGCAAUUAUUGGUCUCCAACGAGGAAUUCCUAGUAAACGCAAGUCAUCAGCUUGCAUUGAUUACGUCCCUGCCCUUUGUACACAUUGUCCGUCGCACCUACCGAUUGAAUGGUCCGGUGAAAUCUUCGGAUUGAGACUUUGUUUUCUUCACGGAAAACGCUGUUUUAAAAAGUUGAUUAAACCUUACCAUUUAGAGGAAGGUGAAGUCGUAACA
Molecule: ribosomal RNA, 329 nt
Filed under: uncultured eukaryote
Lineage: Eukaryota
Description: partial 18S ribosomal RNA
Rfam family: Eukaryotic small subunit ribosomal RNA
Source: RNAcentral